Molecule: non-coding RNA, 76 nt
Organism: Phrynosoma platyrhinos (Desert horned lizard)
Lineage: Eukaryota; Metazoa; Chordata; Lepidosauria; Squamata; Phrynosomatidae
Source: the annotation of a GenBank genome assembly
GGCAGCGUGGUCUAGUGGUUUGAGUGUCGGACGGACGAAGACUCUGGAGACUAGGGUUCAAUUCCCACCUUGGCCA